GGAGGGGUCGCAUAGUGGACUAGUGCACACGCUUGGAAAGCGUGCAUGGCCGCAAGGUCAUCGAGGGUUCGAAUCCCUCCCCCUCCGCCA
This 90-nucleotide transfer RNA is filed under the name Candidatus Woykebacteria bacterium GWA1_44_8. RNAcentral's name for it is "tRNA-Ser". It matches the Rfam family "tRNA". Rfam says of the family: Transfer RNA (tRNA) molecules are approximately 80 nucleotides in length. Their secondary structure includes four short double-helical elements and three loops (D, anti-codon, and T loops). The record is from RNAcentral. RNAcentral also lists the same sequence under 3 other names. Lineage: Bacteria; Candidatus Woykeibacteriota.